RNAcentral lists this ribosomal RNA (253 nucleotides) under uncultured bacterium. RNAcentral describes it as "partial 16S ribosomal RNA". It matches the Rfam family "Bacterial small subunit ribosomal RNA", at positions 524 to 776 of the family's 1533-position model. The record is from RNAcentral.
GACGAACCGUGCGAACGUUGUUCGGAAUCACUGGGCGUAAAGGGUGCGUAGGCGGGUCUUUAAGUCAGGGGUGAAAUCCUGGAGCUCAACUCCAGAACUGCCUUUGAUACUGAGGAUCUUGAGUUCGGGAGAGGUGAGUGGAACUGCGAGUGUAGAGGUGAAAUUCGUAGAUAUUCGCAAGAACACCAGUGGCGAAGGCGGCUCACUGGCCCGAUACUGACGCUGAGGUGCGAAAGCGUGGGGAGCAAACAGG